GUUGAAUGGGAUUCCUAAAAAUCCCAUAUCAAACUGCUCAGUAACACAUGAUCAACUUGCCCUAUGGAGGACAAUAACCUCGGGAAACUGAGGAUAAUAGUCCAUAGUUGAUUAGGCUUGGAAAAGUUUUUCAAUGAAUGGAAUAAGAAAAAUGGUUCUUAUUUGCCAUAGGAUAGGAUCGUGCUCGAUUAUGGUUGUUGGUGAGGUAAAGGCUCACCAAGCCGAUAAUCGAUAGGGGCCGUGAGAGCGGUUGCCCCGAGAUGGGUACUGAGAUAACGACCCAGGCCUUACGAGGCGCAGCAGGCGCGAAACCUCAUCACUACACGAAAGUGUGAAUGGGUUACCCAAAGUGUCCUUAUUGGACUGUGGUAGGUGAGUAAUGUUCCCUACUAAAAAGGAGAGGGCAAGGCUGGUGCCAGCCGCCGCGGUAAAACCAGCUCUUCAAGUGGUCGGGAUAAUUAUUGGGCUUAAAGUGUCCGUAGCCGGUAUGGUAAGUUCCUGGUAAAAUCGGGUAGCUUAACUAUCUGUGUGCUAGGAAUACUGCUAUACUANAAGGGCGGGAGAAGUCUGAGGUACUACCG
RNAcentral lists this ribosomal RNA (581 nucleotides) under uncultured archaeon. RNAcentral's name for it is "bacterial SSU rRNA". It matches the Rfam family "Archaeal small subunit ribosomal RNA", at positions 57 to 623 of the family's 1478-position model. The record is from RNAcentral.